GUAGGGGGGCGAGCGUUAUCCGGAAUUAUUGGGGGGCGUAAAGCGCGUGUAGGGCGGGCUUGGGUAGGGUUGGACGUGAAAGCUCCUGGCUCAACUGGGAGAGGUCGUUCAAAACCGCCAGGCUUGAGGACGGAAGAGGGGAGUGGAAUUCCCGGUGUAGUGGUGGAAUGCGUAGAUAUCGGGAGGAACACCCGUGGCGAAGGCGACUCCCUGGUCCGUUUCUGACGCUCAGACGCGAAAGCGUGGGUAGCGAACGGGAUUAGAUACCCCGGUAGUCCACGCCGUAAACGAUGGAUGCUAGGUGUAGGAGGUCUUGACCCCUUCUGUGCCGUAGCUAACGCGUUAAGCAUCCCGCCUGGGGACUACGACCGCAAGGUUA
Molecule: ribosomal RNA, 379 nt
Filed under: uncultured organism
Description: partial 16S ribosomal RNA
Rfam family: Bacterial small subunit ribosomal RNA
Source: RNAcentral